UACACACCGCCCGUCACACCACGAAAGUGGGUUACACCAGAAGUCGGUGCGCCAACCGCAAGGGGGGCAGCCGCCCAAGGUAUGACUCAUGAUUGGGGUG
This 100-nucleotide ribosomal RNA is filed under the name uncultured bacterium. RNAcentral's name for it is "partial 16S ribosomal RNA". It matches the Rfam family "Bacterial small subunit ribosomal RNA", at positions 1384 to 1482 of the family's 1533-position model. The record is from RNAcentral.